UAAACACGAAGCCAAGCGAUCUAUUCAAGCGCUAGCUGAAAUUGAUUUAAACAUCAAUGGAAGGCUUAACUCGUGUCUUUGCAAUAGGCUGGGAUGACGUUUGAAUAGGAGUGAAAGGCUAAUCAAGCUUGGUUAUAGCUUGAACUCCGCGAAAGUUAUUUUAGUAACGCCGCCAUAUAUAAAAAUGAGGUAAAGCACUGAUUUCGUUUUGGGUGAUUUAAUACUCUUUCAAGCGUUCUUAAACUUUGAAUACAUGUAAUAA
Molecule: ribosomal RNA, 262 nt
Filed under: Phaeocystis antarctica
Lineage: Eukaryota; Haptophyta; Phaeocystales; Phaeocystaceae
Description: partial Bacterial large subunit ribosomal RNA
Rfam family: Bacterial large subunit ribosomal RNA
Source: RNAcentral